GGAGUCCGAGUUGUAAUUUGUAGAAGAUGCUUUGGGUGUCGAGUUCGGCCUAAGUUCCUUGGAACAGGACGUCAUAGAGGGUGAGAAUCCCGUAUGUGGCCGAGGCCCGCGCCUAUGUAAAGCUCUUUCAACGAGUCGAGUUGUUUGGGAAUGCAGCUCAAAAUGGGUGGUAAAUUUCAUCUAAAGCUAAAUAUGGGCCAGAGACCGAUAGCGCACAAGUAGAGUGAUCGAAAGAUGAAAAGCACUUUGGAAAGAGAGUUAAACAGUACGUGAAAUUGUUGAAAGGGAAGCGCUUGCAACCAGACUUGGGCGCUGCCGAUCACCCCGAGUUCUCUCAGGUGCACUCGACAGCGCACAGGCCAGCAUCGGUUCGGGUGGCUGGAUAAAGGCCGUAGGAACGUGGCUCCCUUCGAGGAGUGUUAUAGCCUACGGUGCCAUGCAGCCCAGCCGGACCGAGGACCGCGCCUUCGGGCUAGGAUGCUGGCGUAAUGGUUGUAAGCGACCCGUCUUGAAACACGGACCAAGGAGUCUAACAUCUAUGCGAGUGUUUGGGUGGUA
This 558-nucleotide ribosomal RNA is filed under the name Erysiphe azaleae. Its description in RNAcentral is "partial large subunit ribosomal RNA". It matches the Rfam family "Eukaryotic large subunit ribosomal RNA", at positions 133 to 703 of the family's 3401-position model. Lineage: Eukaryota; Fungi; Ascomycota; Leotiomycetes; Helotiales; Erysiphaceae. The record is from RNAcentral.